CCGGAAGUCGUUACUCCAACCGCUUGUCGGAGGAGGACGCCGAAGGCAGGGCUGAUGACUGGGGUGAAGUCGUAACAAGGUAGCCGUACCGGAAGGUGUGGCUGGAUCACCUCCUUUACAGGGAGACCUACCCACUCUGUGACUGAAAGCAAAAAGCAAAACGCAAGGUGCAAAUAAGUCUAGAGUCGGUCAUCCCAAGGUCGUUCACAGUAUCUGUUGAGGCUUCCAAGCUGUUGGUUCGGUUCAUGGGCUAUUAACUCAGGUGGUUAGAGCGCACCCCUGAUAAGGGUGAGGUCCCUGGUUCGAGUCCAGGAUGGCCCACCUUACAGAACUGAGGUGCGAAGACUGAAAAAAGAAUGGAUUGAUAGGUCCUUCGGAUUUCGGUACGCACAAUUUCAGGACUGGGAUAUGGGGGUUUAGCUCAGUUGGUAGAGCGCCUGCUUUGCAAGCAGGAUGUCAGCAGUUCGAGUCUGCUAACCUCCAGUGGGUAAAUUGCCCAAAAAGAGUUUGAGAAUCAGUUGAAUUUGAUUACUCAAAGUUAAGUUCCAUUGUUAAUGUAAAACUCUGCACAAGAUUGUAGGGAUAGUAUCAGCAACUAGUCUUGGAUGGACAAGAUAGCCUGCUGGAGUUAUUCCAGUAAAUAGAACCUAGAAAACUGCAUAGUGGGAAAAUGUCAGGUAGAAGCAUUAGUGAAGAAUAAGAUGAGAGGUUGGACGAGAGUUCAAUUAGGAGUCAUGAUUCAACACUAAUGAGAUACAGAAACCAAUGUAGAAAGAUUGCGAAAUCAAGUGGUCAAGCUACAAAGGGCUGAUGGUGGAUACCUAGCACCAAAGGGGGGAAAAA
This 843-nucleotide unclassified non-coding RNA is filed under the name Siamcapillus rubidus NUACC13. RNAcentral describes it as "partial contains 16S ribosomal RNA, 16S-23S ribosomal RNA intergenic spacer, and 23S ribosomal RNA; operon 2". The stretch from base 1 to 117 matches the Rfam family "Bacterial small subunit ribosomal RNA", at positions 1420 to 1533 of the family's 1533-position model. The record is from RNAcentral. Lineage: Bacteria; Bacillati; Cyanobacteriota; Cyanophyceae; Oculatellales; Oculatellaceae. RNAcentral also lists the same sequence under 1 other name.